This 540-nucleotide ribosomal RNA is filed under the name Enterobacter hormaechei. Its description in RNAcentral is "partial 23S ribosomal RNA". It matches the Rfam family "Bacterial large subunit ribosomal RNA", at positions 2211 to 2750 of the family's 2925-position model. The record is from RNAcentral. Lineage: Bacteria; Pseudomonadati; Pseudomonadota; Gammaproteobacteria; Enterobacterales; Enterobacteriaceae.
UGGCUGGUGUUCUAACGUAGACCCGUGAUCCGGGUUGCGGACAGUGUCUGGUGGGUAGUUUGACUGGGGCGGUCUCCUCCCAAAGAGUAACGGAGGAGCACGAAGGUUGGCUAAUCCUGGUCGGACAUCAGGAGGUUAGUGCAAUGGCAUAAGCCAGCUUGACUGCGAGCGUGACGGCGCGAGCAGGUGCGAAAGCAGGUCAUAGUGAUCCGGUGGUUCUGAAUGGAAGGGCCAUCGCUCAACGGAUAAAAGGUACUCCGGGGAUAACAGGCUGAUACCGCCCAAGAGUUCAUAUCGACGGCGGUGUUUGGCACCUCGAUGUCGGCUCAUCACAUCCUGGGGCUGAAGUAGGUCCCAAGGGUAUGGCUGUUCGCCAUUUAAAGUGGUACGCGAGCUGGGUUUAGAACGUCGUGAGACAGUUCGGUCCCUAUCUGCCGUGGGCGCUGGAGAAUUGAGGGGGGCUGCUCCUAGUACGAGAGGACCGGAGUGGACGCAUCACUGGUGUUCGGGUUGUCAUGCCAAUGGCACUGCCCGGUAGCU